CAGUAGCCACGGUAAUACAGAGGGUGCGAGCGUUAAUCGGAUUUACUGGGCGUAAAGCGUGCGUAGGCGGCUUCUUAAGUCGGAUGUGAAAUCCCUGAGCUUAACUUAGGAAUUGCAUUCGAUACUGGGAAGCUAGAGUAUGGGAGAGGAUGGUAGAAUUCCAGGUGUAGCGGUGAAAUGCGUAGAGAUCUGGAGGAAUACCGAUGGCGAAGGCAGCCAUCUGGCCUAAUACUGACGCUGAGGUACGAAAGCAUGGGGAGCAAACAGGAUUAGAUACCCCAGUAGUCCCUGUCUCUUUACC
This 301-nucleotide ribosomal RNA is filed under the name uncultured bacterium. RNAcentral's name for it is "partial 16S ribosomal RNA". It matches the Rfam family "Bacterial small subunit ribosomal RNA", at positions 509 to 808 of the family's 1533-position model. The record is from RNAcentral.